AGGGUAGAGGCGCGGGAUUCAUGAGUAGCGACCGUGGGGACGACAGAUCCGGUUCACGGCCGCCAAAGGGAAUCACCGCCGAAGCCGACCACGCUCUGUCACGUGUUCGGCUGGUUCAGACGGAAAACAUCCUCUGGACUGUCACGGUGAACUGCCGUGGAGCGCUCUCU
This 170-nucleotide non-coding RNA is filed under the name marine eukaryotic metagenome. Its description in RNAcentral is "Lysine riboswitch". It matches the Rfam family "Lysine riboswitch aptamer". From Rfam's summary of the family: Riboswitches are metabolite binding domains within certain messenger RNAs that serve as precision sensors for their corresponding targets. Allosteric rearrangement of mRNA structure is mediated by ligand binding, and this results in modulation of gene expression. The record is from RNAcentral.